CCCUUAGAUGUCCUGGGCCGCACGCGCGUUACACUGAUGCAUUCAACGAGCUUAUAACCUUGGCCGAGAGGCCUGGGCAAUCUUGUUAACGUGCAUCGUGAUAGGGAUAGAUUAUUGAAAUUAUUAAUCUUGAACGAGGAAUUCCUAGUAAACGCAGAUCAUCAAUCUGCAUUGAUUACGUCCCUGCCCUUUGUACACACCGCCCGUCGCACCUACCGAUUGGAUGGUCCGGUGAAGCCUCGGGAUUGUGGUUCUUGCCGCUUUAUUGUAGCGUGACCGCGAGAACUUGUCUAAACCUUAUCAUCUAGAGGAAGGAGAAGUCGUAACA
RNAcentral lists this ribosomal RNA (328 nucleotides) under uncultured eukaryote. Its description in RNAcentral is "partial 18S ribosomal RNA". It matches the Rfam family "Eukaryotic small subunit ribosomal RNA", at positions 1470 to 1796 of the family's 1831-position model. The record is from RNAcentral.